UACAAAAUUAAAAAUCAGGACGGUGUCCCGUUAAACCAAAAGAACUAAACUGGAUGAAUAUUGUAGGAGAAAAUCUAGAGGAAAGUUUUGAUUUGUGAAAUUGGUUUUCCUGAACAGAUGUACAUUCAUCCUGCAGGAAAGAUUUAUAACUGUCCACCACCAACUGACGAGCUAAUGUUGAGCUUCACAGAUGGAAUUACUCAAACAC
This 208-nucleotide long non-coding RNA is filed under the name Mytilus galloprovincialis (Mediterranean mussel). The record is from RNAcentral. Lineage: Eukaryota; Metazoa; Mollusca; Bivalvia; Mytilida; Mytilidae.